This is a long non-coding RNA of Formica exsecta, 2755 nucleotides long. RefSeq lists it as uncharacterized. The transcript is spliced from 3 exons. The record is from RefSeq and is a predicted model, not a curated record. NCBI's taxonomy places the organism in Eukaryota, Metazoa, Arthropoda, Insecta, Hymenoptera, Formicidae.
AGUGCCGACCAGCGCCGCGACGCCUCGCAAUCCUCUCUCUUCCCUGUCUCUUCUCUUCUCUUCUAUUCUGUCGCCCUUCGUAUCCAACGACAGGGCUCUCUGUUGUUUGACGAGCGCGGUUCAUCUGGAUCGUCUCUCGAAUCUCGGCAAUCCCGAUAAUAACGCAACCGAUUGGAUCAGCUUAAGGGUGAGACGCGGUCACGUAACGAGUGAGCAGUGUGAGUCCGUGAGUCGAUGGACCAAUCGCCUCGCUCUCGCGGAGGAGGCCAUCCGUGUCGUUGUCCCGUUCAGCGCGAUCCUUUCGCGGUGACGGUGAAGUGUGAAAGUAUAUCUUUGCUUUGAUGGUACUGGCCAUGACAGUGAAGGAUGGGAUUCUCCUCCGUCUUUGUUUCAUACCGCGGGCGACUGUACAAAAGUGCACGUACGUGAUGAGACAGUGAUUUUGUUUGCUGCAAAAUAGCCGAUCACAAUCGCAGGAAUGGCAGUAAGAAGUCGGAAUGACGGUAGAGUAGGUGUGUUUGAAACUAUGCAGGAUUUGGCCAACAUCGUUCGCCAGGUUCUCCUAAACUCAGCGGAUUGCGACGCACCUCGUCACGCGACCUUGACUUCCCAUGGCAUCGGAACGCUAAGAGGUUUACCUUGGUAAACCCUAGUAUCUCUGGAUACCACUCGGGGUCUCGGUCGAGGGAUUAAGACGGGGUUGUUGAACAGGACGACACGGGAGGAACGGCAGGGAUGGGGAGGGGACGAACAGAGAGGGGACCGAGAGUGAGAAUGAGAAAGGGAAAGGCGACUACACUAAUCGUACGCCCGUAUAAUUGAUCGAGUGUAAUGAGUUAAAGAGGAUGCUACGGUAUCGAUGGCGAAAAUUAAAGAGUUCUGGGUCACGGAGGUGGCGAUAAUCCCGGAACAGAGAAAGUACGGAACUUAGGUACUUGUCCUCCUCCGCUCGCGCCCCCUCCGGCAUCUCACUCGUCAUCCACCGUCUCGACCGGCAUGGGAGGAAGCGCUGAUUGUAAAUUAGUUAAAGGAGAUGCUUCAUUAGGUAACGCGCUGUCUUGGUUCUUGAAGCUGCAGUUUCCCGGCGUUUAACUGUUUUUAAAGGGGCUCGCGGGGCAUAAUAACUGGCCGCGCACAGACUGGUCGAUACACGUGUAAGUUAAGUAUAUAAUUAUCAUAUAAUUAUAAAAGUGUUAAUAAAACCAACGUGUGUUUUAUCAACAAAAUGAUUUAUCGUAUCAAUCACGAUGUUAAAUCAUGGUGGCAUAAAUUUCUACAUUUACUGAAUUUUAUUUUUACGAGAUUAAAAUUACGGCGAUAAACAAAAUAUAAAUAAUAGGAUAACGAAAUAUACACGUGCAUAUUCAGUUAUUGCAUAAUUAUUGUAAUGUAGCUACAUAUUUUUUUACUUUCUCAGUCAUUAUAUUUUUAUAACUAUCUUUUAUCUAAUAUUACUCUUGCUUAUCUUAUGUAAUAUCCACGUUCACAAAGCAGAACAAUAUACUUGAGAAUAUCUUCUCUCUCCCCGCCCUGUUUAACUGCUCUAGGCAUACAUAAUUAUUCGAUGAUUGAGAGAAAUAGGCAAGCAAAUAUAUGACUAUAUGGCAUAUCUAAAUCUAUACGUGUGUAUUAAUAAUAAUUACCACCGUAUAGUUUUUACACGCUCAUUAUUUAAUAGAAAGUAGCUGUCGCAAGGUAGAUAAUUAAAUCUGGGAUUAACAAGGCUGUCAUUAAUUCGAAAGGUUAGAUUGAUCGAAGUAAUGAGUGUCUGUAAUUCCCGCUCAUAUGUUCCGACAUUUAAAUGUCGAAUCCGACUUGAGGAAAAUCAGCACGUAUCGUGCGUAGAGGUAAAUUGCCGAAAGCGUAUAAUCGAACUCUAUUCAGCCGUUUACACAUUUCCCUCGUCUAUACGAUAUUACUUUUUGGCUGGCUUCGUUUUUGACGUCUUUUCAAUUCGAAGCGAGAGGAAUGAAAAAGGAGAGACGAAAAAAGUGGCGCGGGCAAGAGAUAGGUGGAUAGAAAGACGACGGUUAGCUACGUCCGGAGGCACGCGAGAGGCAAUAGUGUCUUCCGCGCAUCCCCUAGGGAAAUUAUUGACAGUCAGCGAGGAAAUGACGUCGUAAAUACCAUGCCGAGGCGAAGUAACCGCCCGCUUCAGGGCCUCUUCUCUUCGCUUCGCGUUCCUCUCUCUCUCUCUCUCUCUCUCUCUUUUUCUCUUCUCGUCCUUUUUCUCCUCCGUCGGCUUCUACUUUGUCCGUCGUCUUUCUUCUGCCGCGUAUAAUUCCUGCGAUGUUGUUUUCAGCGGCCGUGGUUCCGCGGCGCGGGGCGGAAAAAUACACGCGUCGGGCCAGCGCCUAUUUACGGACACCAUAACACGGCGGUUACGGCGGAUAAUAUUAAGAGUGAACCGCGCAUACGCGCCGACCUGCCGGUCGUCUGCUUAGGUCACGUCGAGAUACGAUGGUGGUUCCUUCGGAUGAGAAACACGGAUUUCUUUGUUAAGAUGUGUUGACCGCUAGUAGUAUUUUCUAAGGAUGAUAUCUCUCGUUUUGAAAAUGGGAGUUUGCAAUGAGUCGUCUAUAACUGCUUUAAUGGUACCCGAUAGCGUUGCAAUUAAUCGUGAUUUUUGUUUCUGCACCUACUCAAAUUUUCAUUAAUAUUGCAUUAUAUUUUGUGGAAUUAAUUCGCAAACGUUUUGCGCAUCAAUAUUAUUCUUAUCUAUUUAUUAUCUAUUAUGCCAUGAGAUUUUAUGUAU